This is a long non-coding RNA of Homo sapiens (human), 1777 nucleotides long. The record is from Ensembl. NCBI's taxonomy places the organism in Eukaryota, Metazoa, Chordata, Mammalia, Primates, Hominidae.
AUUCUUACCUUUACUGUCUUCGUCUCUCAGGUGGGGGAAAAGGGAUAUAGAAGCAUAUAGUCUAAGCUGGGAGUUAAAAACACUAGGUUAAAAUCCUAGCUUUGCUACUGAAUAGCUGUGUGACCUUAGGCAAUUUACUUAACCUCUCUGAGUCUCUGUAAAAUGGAGGGAAAAAAUGCUUCUCUGGAAGAGUGGUUAAAUACUUGAAAGAGGCAAUGUAACUGUCUUAUGCCUAGAGCAUAGUAGGUGCUUAACAAACAGUAGCUUAUUUCUGGCAUUAUAAUUAGAUGAGGGGAAGGUCCCUCCUAGCACAGACCCUGGAAGAUUCUAUGACUCAGGGAGUGGGCAGAUUGCAUCCAUGGUCCCUGCCCUCAUUUGUAGCUACCUGAAGGGCCUGUCUCAGCAAUAAAAACAGCCAAGUGAGCACAGGCAGAGAAACAUCAUUUCCUCCUCCUCUUGAGGGCAGGAGUCCAGGCGCAGCCCCAGCAGCAGGCAUCCCUCUUCAGGAAGGAGCUUCCUGUGUUUUCUCUGGGAACUCACCUGUUUUCCACUCCAGACUCUCCAAGAUAUGCAGAGCUUUGGGCCAGGAUCCUACAGCCACGGGUCAUGCAGAGCCAGUUGGCCACAUCCUUUGGGCCAAAUUUGGUCCUAACCAGGUCUUACCACGGUAACUGCUAACCAGUCCAUCUUCAGUUAAUAUUUCAUGCGUAAGAUGUUUCAUGAAGUAACUGAAUGGGCUAAUGGGUUGUUCACUGGAUAAGACUCCCAGAUACUCCCUUUCAUGCCAUUCCCCAGAAUUCCUUCACCUCCCAGUGCUGUCUGUAAGGGUGAAGAUACUCCAUUUUGCCCCAUGCUCUUUGCUGUGCCCCAGAUAGGCUCAAACAUUUUUCCCUUUUGGGGAUUUUGCAGGUAGGAAUUGUUGAACAUCUUACCAUUUAAUCCAGAAGUUAUGUCCUUUAAGGAAUCGACCCUGAGCCUGUGAGUUUUACUUUGGGUUGGGGGUGAAGGAGUGGACCUUGCAGCAUUCAAGGUCAUCCAAGAUCAUCCAGUUAAGGCCCCUAAGGUCACUACGGGGGGAAAAGCCUGGUGAGGGAAGAGAAAGCAUUAGGGGGAGCUGCACCGUGCUGAGAAAUAACACCACACAGAAGUCUGUGUUCUAAUCUCAGCUCUGCUUUGCAUUACUGUGUGACCUGGAGCUGAUCACAGCCCUCUGAGUCUUAAAGGGGUUGGACAAGGCCAACUAAACAUUAGAAACACCUGAAAGUGCUGGUUAAAAGGAAGAAUGCAUGAGCUUCACUCCAGAUUUACUAUAUCAGAAUUUCCAGGGUCAGGGUCCAAGAAUCUGCAUGUUUAAUACGCUUUCCACAUGAUUUUUCCCCCCUCUGGACUUAAGAAAACAAUGGGCAAGUCAGCUCAUGAAGAACUUUUCAGAUAUUCAGACUAUUAUUCUGAGAGAGAAAAUAUUGGCAGAGAACAGAUGGGAUUUUUCUCAAGGAAAAGAAAUGGAAAUCCUACAUCUUGCAAGAAAUAGAAAAAAAUAAAUAAACUGUUUGAAGAAGAAUCACAUCAGGCUGGCAGGAGAGAGCCUGCGGCUCGGUGUCUGACCCAGAAUGUUAAAGCCAGCCUGGCUUGGCUCCAGGAUAAAGGACACUCUGUCAGCCUCUCCACAUUGAUUCAUCUCCCCAGCCCCAAGAUCAGGAGAGCAUUCUGUUCCUUGAAGCAUUUUAUGACUGUAAGUCAGAAGUGCUGCAGUUUUAAUAAAAAGCUGUAUUGUCCU